AUGAACAACCAGCCCCGGGACCCCCCCGGGUCCCCCCCGGUCCCCCCCGGUCCCCCCCGGGACCCCCCCGGUCCCCCCCCCGGUACCCCCCGGUACCCCCCGCGCAUCCGCGUCACCGGGUUAAUGUGGCCCCGGUACACCGGGUCAGGGCGACCGGUGGGGGGGUCAGGGCGACCGGGGGGGGUCACGGAACACCGGGGGGGGGGUCAGAGCGACCGGGGGGGUCGCGGUGCUGGGGGAAGGGUCGCCCUUCCCCCCCGUUCCCCCGGGACCCCCGCCCGGAGCCGUUCCGGGCAGGACCGGGAAGGACCGGGCAGGACCGGGAAGGACCGGGAAGGACCGGGAAGGACCGGGAAGGACCGGAGCCCGGCCCCACAUUGCUCAACCCCCCCCCCCCGCCACCCCCGGGGCUUCCCGGGGCUUCCCGGAGCUCCCCCCGGUCCGGCCGCAGCCGAAUUCCCCAAACGGCCCCGAGCGGGAAAAACCGCGGAACGGGGGAGGGGGGAGGGACUGGGAGCACUGGGGGCACUGGGGGCACUGGGAUGGGCACUGGGAGCACUGGGGGGACUGGGAGCACUGGGGGGACUGGGGGGACUGGGAGCACUGGGGGGACUGGGAGCACUGGGGGGACUGGGAGCACUGGGAUGGGCACUGGGAGCACUGGGAGCACUGGGGGGACUGGGAGCACUGGGGGAACUGGGGGGACUGGGAGGGACUGGGGGGACUGGGGGGACUGGGGGACUGGGAGCACUGGGGGGACUGGGAGCACUGGGGGGACUGGGAGCACUGGGGGCACUGGGGGGACUGGGGGGACUGGGGGGACUGGGGGGACUGGGAGGGACUGGGAGCACUGGGGGGACUGGGGGGACUGGGAGCACUGGGGGGACUGGGGGGACUGGGAGCACUGGGGGGACUGGGAGCACUGGGGGGACUGGGGGGACUGGGGGGACUGGAGGGGACUGGGAGCACUGGGAGCACUGGGAGCACUGGGGGGACUGGGAGCACUGGGGGGACUGGGGGGACUGGGGGGACUGGGGGGACUGGGAGCAGCACUGGGGGGCACUGGUUGUACUGGGGGUGCUGGUUGUUCUGGUUAUACUGGGAGCACUGGGGGGACUGGGGGGACUGGUUGUACUGGGAGCACUGGCUGUACUGGGAACACUGGCUGUACUGGUUAUACUGGGAGCACUGGGAGCACUGGGAGAGGCACUGGUUGUACUGGGAGCACUGGGGAGCACUGGUUGUACUGGGAGCACUGGGAGAGGCACUGGGGGCACGGGGAGCACUGGGGAGCACUGGCUGUACUGGUUAUACUGGUUGCACUGGGAGCGGCGCCGGGCCGCCAGGGGGCGCUGUCACCUUUAG
RNAcentral lists this long non-coding RNA (1365 nucleotides) under Taeniopygia guttata (zebra finch). RNAcentral's name for it is "lncRNA (ENSTGUG00000019952.1)". Lineage: Eukaryota; Metazoa; Chordata; Aves; Passeriformes; Estrildidae. The record is from RNAcentral.